This is a long non-coding RNA of Physeter macrocephalus (sperm whale), 308 nucleotides long. RefSeq lists it as uncharacterized. The transcript is spliced from 3 exons. The record is from RefSeq and is a predicted model, not a curated record. Lineage: Eukaryota; Metazoa; Chordata; Mammalia; Artiodactyla; Physeteridae.
CCAGGCUGUUUUUGCCGUCCUCCCUGCUAAUGUUGACAUUGGUAGGGAGAGAGGAAAUCUGGAUAAAUAGAACUCUUUUCUUGGCGUUGUUAAAUAUAUUACUAAAAAGAGCAAAGGGUGUUUUCGGAGCUAAAUAGAAGCAAAGUCUUUCUUUGGAACUUUGAAAGCCCAGGAAAACAAAAUAAAGGAAACAGUUUUAAGAAGAGACUUUCCUGUGAUGGGCUCUAUUCUCUGAAGUGUCCUGAAAACCCCAGUGUCUGCUGUGACCCAAUGCAGUUCUCACUCAGCCAUGUUAUCUCGGACUCACG